Molecule: ribosomal RNA, 253 nt
Filed under: uncultured bacterium
Lineage: Bacteria
Description: partial 16S ribosomal RNA
Rfam family: Bacterial small subunit ribosomal RNA
Source: RNAcentral
UACGUAGGGUGCGAGCGUUAAUCGGAAUUACUGGGCGUAAAGCGUGCGCAGGCGGUUUUGUAAGACAGGGGUGAAAUCCCCGGGCUUAACCUGGGAACUGCAUUUGUGACUGCAAGGCUAGAGUAUGGCAGAGGGGGGUAGAAUUCCACGUGUAGCAGUGAAAUGCGUAGAUAUGUGGAGGAAUACCGAUGGCGAAGGCAGCCCCCUGGGUCAAUACUGACGCUCAUGCACGAAAGCGUGGGGAGCAAACAGG